This 1359-nucleotide ribosomal RNA is filed under the name uncultured bacterium. RNAcentral describes it as "bacterial SSU rRNA". It matches the Rfam family "Bacterial small subunit ribosomal RNA", at positions 28 to 1381 of the family's 1533-position model. The record is from RNAcentral.
GAUGAACGCUAGCUACAGGCUUAACACAUGCAAGUCGAGGGGCAGCAUGGUCUUAGCUUGCUAAGGCCGAUGGCGACCGGCGCACGGGUGAGUAACACGUAUCCAACCUGCCGUCUACUCUUGGACAGCCUUCUGAAAGGAAGAUUAAUACAAGAUGGCAUCAUGAGUCCGCAUGUUCACAUGAUUAAAGGUAUUCCGGUAGACGAUGGGGAUGCGUUCCAUUAGAUAGUAGGCGGGGUAACGGCCCACCUAGUCUUCGAUGGAUAGGGGUUCUGAGAGGGAGGUCCCCCACAUUGGAACUGAGACACGGUCCAAACUCCUACGGGAGGCAGCAGUGAGGAAUAUUGGUCAAUGGGCGAGAGCCUGAACCAGCCAAGUAGCGUGAAGGAUGACUGCCCUAUGGGUUGUAAACUUCUUUUAUAAAGGAAUAAAGUCGGGUAUGGAUACCCGUUUGCAUGUACUUUAUGAAUAAGGAUCGGCUAACUCCGUGCCAGCAGCCGCGGUAAUACGGAGGAUCCGAGCGUUAUCCGGAUUUAUUGGGUUUAAAGGGAGCGUAGAUGGAUGUUUAAGUCAGUUGUGAAAGUUUGCGGCUCAACCGUAAAAUUGCAGUUGAUACUGGAUAUCUUGAGUGCAGUUGAGGCAGGCGGAAUUCGUGGUGUAGCGGUGAAAUGCUUAGAUAUCACGAAGAACUCCGAUUGCGAAGGCAGCCUGCUAAGCUGCAACUGACAUUGAGGCUCGAAAGUGUGGGUAUCAAACAGGAUUAGAUACCCUGGUAGUCCACACGGUAAACGAUGAAUACUCGCUGUUUGCGAUAUACUGCAAGCGGCCAAGCGAAAGCGUUAAGUAUUCCACCUGGGGAGUACGCCGGCAACGGUGAAACUCAAAGGAAUUGACGGGGGCCCGCACAAGCGGAGGAACAUGUGGUUUAAUUCGAUGAUACGCGAGGAACCUUACCCGGGCUUAAAUUGCAGAUGAAUUACGGUGAAAGCUGUAAGCCGCAAGGCAUCUGUGAAGGUGCUGCAUGGUUGUCGUCAGCUCGUGCCGUGAGGUGUCGGCUUAAGUGCCAUAACGAGCGCAACCCUUGUUGUCAGUUACUAACAGGUUCCGCUGAGGACUCUGACAAGACUGCCAUCGUAAGAUGUGAGGAAGGUGGGGAUGACGUCAAAUCAGCACGGCCCUUACGUCCGGGGCUACACACGUGUUACAAUGGGGGGGUACAGAGGGCCGCUACCACGCGAGUGGAUGCCAAUCCCCAAAACCUCUCUCAGUUCGGACUGGAGUCUGCAACCCGACUCCACGAAGCUGGAUUCGCUAGUAAUCGCGCAUCAGCCACGGCGCGGUGAAUACGUUCCCGGGCCU